GGUUAAGCGACUAAGCGUACACGGUGGAUGCCCUGGCAGUCAGAGGCGAUGAAGGACGUGCUAAUCUGCGAUAAGCGUCGGUGAGGUGAUAUGAACCGUUAUAACCGGCGAUUUCCGAAUGGGGAAACCCAGUGUGUUUCGACACACUAUCAUUAACUGAAUCCAUAGGUUAAUGAGGCGAACCGGGGAACUGAAACAUCUAAGUACCCCGAGGAAAAGAAAUCAACCGAGAUUCCCCCAGUAGCGGCGAGCGAACGGGGAGGAGCCCAGAGCCUGAAUCAGUGUGUGUGUUAGUGGAAGCGUCUGGAAAGGCGUGCGAUACAGGGUGACAGCCCCGUACACAAAAAUGCACAUAUUGUGAGCUCGAUGAGUAGGGCGGGACACGUGGUAUCCUGUCUGAAUAUGGGGGACCAUCCUCCAAGGCUAAAUACUCCUGACUGACCGAUAGUGAACCAGUACCGUGAGGGAAAGGCGAAAAGAACCCCGGCGAGGGGAGUGAAAAAGAACCUGAAACCGUGUACGUACAAGCAGUGGGAGCCUCUUAAUGGGGUGACUGCGUACCUUUUGUAUAAUGGGUCAGCGACUUAUAUUCUGUAGCAAGGUUAACCGAAUAGGGGAGCCGAAGGGAAACCGAGUCUUAACUGGGCGUUAAGUUGCAGGGUAUAGACCCGAAACCCGGUGAUCUAGCCAUGGGCAGGUUGAAGGUUGGGUAACACUAACUGGAGGACCGAACCGACUAAUGUUGAAAAAUUAGCGGAUGACUUGUGGCUGGGGGUGAAAGGCCAAUCAAACCGGGAGAUAGCUGGUUCUCCCCGAAAGCUAUUUAGGUAGCGCCUCGUGAAUUCAUCUCCGGGGUAGAGCACUGUUUCGGCAAGGGGGUCAUCCCGACUUACCAACCCGAUGCAAACUGCGAAUACCGGAGAAUGUUAUCACGGGAGACACACGGCGGGUGCUAACGUCCGUCGUGAAGAGGGAAACAACCCAGACCGCCAGCUAAGGUCCCAAAGUCAUGGUUAAGUGGGAAACGAUGUGGGAAGGCCCAGACAGCCAGGAUGUUGGCUUAGAAGCAGCCAUCAUUUAAAGAAAGCGUAAUAGCUCACUGGUCGAGUCGGCCUGCGCGGAAGAUGUAACGGGGCUAAACCAUGCACCGAAGCUGCGGCAGCGACACUAUGUGUUGUUGGGUAGGGGAGCGUUCUGUAAGCCUGUGAAGGUGGCCUGUGAGGGUUGCUGGAGGUAUCAGAAGUGCGAAUGCUGACAUAAGUAACGAUAAAGCGGGUGAAAAGCCCGCUCGCCGGAAGACCAAGGGUUCCUGUCCAACGUUAAUCGGGGCAGGGUGAGUCGACCCCUAAGGCGAGGCCGAAAGGCGUAGUCGAUGGGAAACAGGUUAAUAUUCCUGUACUUGGUGUUACUGCGAAGGGGGACGGAGAAGGCUAUGUUGGCCGGGCGACGGUUGUCCCGGUUUAAGCGUGUAGGCUGGUUUUCCAGGCAAAUCCGGAAAACCAAGGCUGAGGCGUGAUGACGAGGCACUACGGUGCUGAAGUGACAAAUGCCCUGCUUCCAGGAAAAGCCUCUAAGCAUCAGGUAACAUCAAAUCGUACCCCAAACCGACACAGGUGGUCAGGUAGAGAAUACCAAGGCGCUUGAGAGAACUCGGGUGAAGGAACUAGGCAAAAUGGUGCCGUAACUUCGGGAGAAGGCACGCUGAUAUGUAGGUGAAGCGACUUGCUCGUGGAGCUGAAAUCAGUCGAAGAUACCAGCUGGCUGCAACUGUUUAUUAAAAACACAGCACUGUGCAAACACGAAAGUGGACGUAUACGGUGUGACGCCUGCCCGGUGCCGGAAGGUUAAUUGAUGGGGUUAGCGGUAACGCGAAGCUCUUGAUCGAAGCCCCGGUAAACGGCGGCCGUAACUAUAACGGUCCUAAGGUAGCGAAAUUCCUUGUCGGGUAAGUUCCGACCUGCACGAAUGGCGUAAUGAUGGCCAGGCUGUCUCCACCCGAGACUCAGUGAAAUUGAACUCGCUGUGAAGAUGCAGUGUACCCGCGGCAAGACGGAAAGACCCCGUGAACCUUUACUAUAGCUUGACACUGAACAUUGAGCCUUGAUGUGUAGGAUAGGUGGGAGGCUUUGAAGUGUGGACGCCAGUCUGCAUGGAGCCGACCUUGAAAUACCACCCUUUAAUGUUUGAUGUUCUAACGUUGGCCCGUAAUCCGGGUUGCGGACAGUGUCUGGUGGGUAGUUUGACUGGGGCGGUCUCCUCCUAAAGAGUAACGGAGGAGCACGAAGGUUGGCUAAUCCUGGUCGGACAUCAGGAGGUUAGUGCAAUGGCAUAAGCCAGCUUGACUGCGAGCGUGACGGCGCGAGCAGGUGCGAAAGCAGGUCAUAGUGAUCCGGUGGUUCUGAAUGGAAGGGCCAUCGCUCAACGGAUAAAAGGUACUCCGGGGAUAACAGGCUGAUACCGCCCAAGAGUUCAUAUCGACGGCGGUGUUUGGCACCUCGAUGUCGGCUCAUCACAUCCUGGGGCUGAAGUAGGUCCCAAGGGUAUGGCUGUUCGCCAUUUAAAGUGGUACGCGAGCUGGGUUUAGAACGUCGUGAGACAGUUCGGUCCCUAUCUGCCGUGGGCGCUGGAGAACUGAGGGGGCUGCUCCUAGUACGAGAGGACCGGAGUGGACGCAUCACUGGUGUUCGGGUUGUCAUGCCAAUGGCACUGCCCGGUAGCUAAAUGCGGAAGAGAUAAGUGCUGAAAGCAUCUAAGCACGAAACUUGCCCCGAGAUGAGUUCUCCCUGACUCCUUGAGGGUCCUGAAGGAACGUUGAAGACGACGACGUUGAUAGGCCGGGUGUGUAAGCGCAGCGAUGCGUUGAGCUAACCGGUACUAAUGAACCGUGAGGCUUAACCUU
This 2899-nucleotide ribosomal RNA is filed under the name Escherichia coli. RNAcentral describes it as "23S ribosomal RNA". It matches the Rfam family "Bacterial large subunit ribosomal RNA". Lineage: Bacteria; Pseudomonadati; Pseudomonadota; Gammaproteobacteria; Enterobacterales; Enterobacteriaceae. The record is from RNAcentral.